RNAcentral lists this ribosomal RNA (701 nucleotides) under Salmonella enterica. RNAcentral's name for it is "partial 23S ribosomal RNA". It matches the Rfam family "Bacterial large subunit ribosomal RNA", at positions 1 to 1191 of the family's 2925-position model. The record is from RNAcentral. Lineage: Bacteria; Pseudomonadati; Pseudomonadota; Gammaproteobacteria; Enterobacterales; Enterobacteriaceae.
AAGCCAGUGGUGAACUCCACAUACGCAUCCUUUGCUGAGGAUACGGUUAACGGAGCGAAAGCGACGUUCAACCGCAAAAGAAGCAGAGGGGGCUUAGUGGUGGGGUGACUGCGUACCUUUUGUAUAAUGGGUCAGCGACUUAUAUUCUGUAGCAAGGUUAACCGAAUAGGGGAGCCGGAGGGAAACCGAGUCUUAAUUGGGCGUUAAGUUGCAGGGUAUAGACCCGAAACCCGGUGAUCUAGCCAUGGGCAGGUUGAAGGUUGGGUAACACUAACUGGAGGACCGAACCGACUAAUGUUGAAAAAUUAGCGGAUGACCUGUGGCUGGGGGUGAAAGGCCAAUCAAACCGGGAGAUAGCUGGUUCUCCCCGAAAGCUAUUUAGGUAGCGCCUCGUGAAUUCAUCUCCGGGGGUAGAGCACUGUUUCGGCUAGGGGGCCAUCCCGGCUUACCAACCCGAUGCAAACUGCGAAUACCGGAGAAUGUUAUCACGGGAGACACACGGCGGGUGCUAACGUCCGUCGUGAAGAGGGAAACAACCCAGACCGCCAGCUAAGGUCCCAAAGUCAUGGUUAAGUGGGAAACGAUGUGGGAAGGCCCAGACAGCCAGGAUGUUGGCUUAGAAGCAGCCAUCAUUUAAAGAAAGCGUAAUAGCUCACUGGUCGAGUCGGCCUGCGCGGAAGAUGUAACGGGGCUAAACCAUG